Molecule: ribosomal RNA, 402 nt
Filed under: uncultured bacterium
Lineage: Bacteria
Description: bacterial SSU rRNA
Rfam family: Bacterial small subunit ribosomal RNA
Source: RNAcentral
UGGGGAAUAUUGGACAAUGGGCGCAAGCCUGAUCCAGCCAUGCCGCGUGAGUGAUGAAGGCCUUAGGGUUGUAAAGCUCUUUUAGCAGGGAAGAUAAUGACGGUACCUGCAGAAAAAGCCCCGGCUAACUUCGUGCCAGCAGCCGCGGUAAUACGAAGGGGGCUAGCGUUGCUCGGAAUUACUGGGCGUAAAGCGCACGUAGGCGGACUCUUAAGUCGGUGGUGAAAUCCUGUAACUCAACUCCAGAACUGCCUUCGAUACUGGGAGUCUUGAGUUCGGGAGAGGUGAGUCGAACUGCGAGUGUAGAGGUGAAAUUCGUAGAUAUUCGCAAGAACACCAGUGGCGAAGGCGGCUCACUGGCCCGAUACUGACGCUGAGGUGCGAAAGCGUGGGGAGCAAACA